GAGCUUAUCAGAGCUUGCAGGGCAGCAGUUGAAGAAGGAGCAGAAAGGGUCUUCUUGUGUGUGUGUGUUUCUUUGUGGCUGAUUAGCUGCUCUCCCUGUGCAAAGGUCAGAGGGGGCAGGGUUUCUGUUGAGGCAGGUGGUUAGCUGUGGGAGGAGCUUAUCAGAGCUUGCAGGGCAGCGGCGGCGCAGUUUGAUCCAUCUUUUAGAUUUAGGGGAGCUAGUCUCAAACAUUUGUUGGGGGAGACCUAGGUUUUUUUGGGGGGGAGUUAUUUGUCCUGUCUUCACGCUUUUUAUGAUGGAGGACCGCUGUAGCCACCCCCAACGACACAUUCUCAAGAUGGAGGGGGAGGGAACAGCUGCAGUCGCCUGCGGUUCCUGCGCAAUGUUUGCCAUCUUGCCAAAGGUUGCAGGCAGCUUUACCUGCAGCAAUUGCAUGUUGAUUGCCCUCUUAGAAGACAAAGUCCAGCAACUGGAGGAACGUGUAGCUACGCUCCAAAGAAUUAGAGAGCUGGAGCUCUUCUUGGAAGCAACAGAGCACACCGUCUCCACCAAGGAGGAGACAGGGGACUCCCUGAGAAGGAGGCUAGUUCACCAACACAGGAGCCAGAUAUAUGGAGAAACGUGACUCAAAGAAGUAGGAGGCCCAGGGUUCACUCUGAUUGUUUAGAAAUACACAAUCGCUUUGAGGUCCUCUCCCCUAGCAUGGAAGACGAAGAGCAGACUCCAUUUGAGGAUCUCUCCCUCAUUACAGUCGAUCAGGUAUAUGAAGACGAGCAGCAAAGUCAGUCCUCAGGGAGUGUGCAGGCGACCUUGGAACGGACAGCUCACGGAAGAACCCCGACCAAACCUAAGAGGAGGCGUGUAGUGGUGAUAGGGGAUUCCCUACUGAGGGGAACAGAAGCAGUGAUCUGUGGGCCUGACAAGAUGUCUCAGGAAGUGUGCUGUCUCCCGGGGCUAAGAUCCAAGAUGUAACUGAAUGACUGCAAGGAAUCAUAAAACCCACUGACAAAUACUCCUUCCUCUUGGUUCAUGUGGGAACCAAUGACACUGCAAGCAAUAGCCUCCAGAAGAUCAAAAGAGACUACGAGGCUCUGGGCAGGAAGUUGAAGCAAUUAAAUGCACAAAUUGUCAUCUCAUCUGUCCUCCCAGUUGAACGACGUGGCCCAGGGAGAGAGGGGAAAAUAGUGGAAGUGAACAGCUGGCUUCGCAAAUGGUGUAAAUAGGAACGGUUUGGAUUCUUAGAUCACGGACUGCAGUUUCUUGAAGAUGGACUUCUGGCAAGCGAUGGGCUGCACCUCACAAUGGUUGGGAGGAAUGUUUUUGCCAAAAAUCUCAGAAACCUCAUCAGGAGGGCUUUAAACUGACGAAUGUGGGGGAGGGAGACAGUGCUCCUGAAGGUAGGAGUCUAUCAAUUGAUGAAGAUGAUCAUCCAUAUGUCAUAGACCAAAUGGAGCAAACAGCAUGCAGACCUAGUGGUGGGAGGAAAAAAUCAUUAAAUAAGAGACACGGGGGAAUGAUUAAUGGACUUCAAUGUCUGUACACUAACGCGCAAAGCAUGUGAAAUAAACAAGAUGAGCUUGAGCUUUUGGUACAGCAAACUAAAUAUGACAUAAUAGGCAUCACUGAAACCUGGUGGGAUAAGUCCCACGAUUGGAAUGUAAUAAUGGAGGGAUACAAUCUAUUUCAGAGAAACAGACCAGACAAGAAAGGAGGAGGAGUGGCGUUAUAUGUCAGGGAUUUGUAUACCUGUGAAGAGAUCCAAGAUUUAGAACCUCAAAGCCAAAGUGAGAGCAUUUGGGUAAAAAUUAAGGGAGAGAAGAAUAACAGUGACCUCAUUGUGGGAGUUUACUAUAGAUCCCCAAGCCAAACGGAGGACAUAGAUGAUGCCUUCCUGGAACAGAUGGCCAAGCAUGCAAAAGGAAGGGAGAUAGUAGUAAUGGGGGACUUCAAUUAGCUGGAUAUUUGUUGGAUGUCAAACUCAGCCAAGAGCAUAAGGUCAAACAGAUUCCUCACUGGCCUUGCAGACAACUUCAUUGUCCAGAAAGUGGGAGAAGCAACAAGAGGAACAGCCAUUUUAGAUCUGGUCCUAACCAAUGUUGAUGACCUGGUUAGUGGGGUAGAAGUGGAAGGAUCAUUAGGCGCGAGUGAUCAUGCUCUUCUGAAGUUUACUAUACAGCGGAAAGGAGCAGCCAAGCAUACUAGGACUCAAUUUCUUGACUUUAAGAAAGCCGACUUCAUAAAACUUAGGGAAGUGCUGGGUGAGAUCCCAUGGACAGUAAUACUAAAAGGAAAGGGAGUUCAUGAUGGCUGGGAGUUUGUUAAGAGGGAGAUAGUAAAAGCACAACUUCAGGCAAUACCAAUGAGACGGAAACAUGGAAAGUGCCUAAAGAAGCCAGGGUGGCUAUCUAAAGAACUUUUAACUGAGUUAAGAUU
Podarcis lilfordi (Lilford's wall lizard) is the source of this 2433-nucleotide non-coding RNA. The record is from the annotation of a GenBank genome assembly. NCBI's taxonomy places the organism in Eukaryota, Metazoa, Chordata, Lepidosauria, Squamata, Lacertidae.